GCGCCGUUGGUCCAGUGGUAGGAUCGCCGCCUCCCACGCGGCGGGCCCGGGUUCAAUUCCCGGACGGCGCA
Molecule: transfer RNA, 71 nt
Organism: Acanthamoeba castellanii str. Neff
Lineage: Eukaryota; Discosea; Longamoebia; Acanthamoebidae
Rfam family: tRNA
About the family: Transfer RNA (tRNA) molecules are approximately 80 nucleotides in length. Their secondary structure includes four short double-helical elements and three loops (D, anti-codon, and T loops).
Source: Rfam